AUGGCACAUGAUGUGGAAGGCCUUGCUAGCAUUCUACAGAGUUUUGGGGUGGUCUCUGGCCUCGUGACAAAUGUGACCAAGAGCUCCAUCGCCCCCAUCCAAUGCGCCAACAUUAACUUGGAGGAGAUUCUGGCGAACUUCCCGGCGACUACGACCCCCUUCCCCAUUAAGUAUCUGGGGUUGCCCCUCUCCCUCGGAAGACUUAGGCGUGUGGACCUUCAACCCUACAUCGACAAAGCGGUGGCUCGUCUUAGCCCGUGGAAAGGAAAGUUCCUGAAUCGUGUCGGGUGCACUGCUUUGGUUAAGUCCGUGCUCUCCUCCAUGCCAAUCUUCUUGCUGACGUCUUUAAAGGCUGACAAAGGCAUCCUCAAGGCCUUUGCGAAGAUCAGUCGUGGCAUGCUCUGGGCCUGUAAGGAGGCGGUUAGUGGAGGGAAAUGCAAAGUCAACUCGCAAAAGGUCUGCCGC
This 465-nucleotide ribosomal RNA is filed under the name Triticum aestivum (bread wheat). RNAcentral's name for it is "partial small subunit ribosomal RNA". The record is from RNAcentral. Lineage: Eukaryota; Viridiplantae; Streptophyta; Magnoliopsida; Poales; Poaceae.